Molecule: ribosomal RNA, 392 nt
Filed under: uncultured bacterium
Lineage: Bacteria
Description: partial 16S ribosomal RNA
Rfam family: Bacterial small subunit ribosomal RNA
Source: RNAcentral
AUACGGAGGAUGCGAGCGUUAUCCGGAUUUAUUGGGUUUAAAGGGAGCGUAGGCGGGAGCUUAAGUCAGCGGUUAAAUGGUGCGGCUCAACCGUGCCCUGCCGUUGAAACUGGGUUUCUUGAGAGUGCAAGAGGCGGAUGGAAUUCAUGGGGUAGCGGUGAAAUGCUUAGAUAUAAUGAAGAACUCCGAUUGCGAAGGCAGUCCGCUGGGGCACGUCUGACGCUGAUGCUCGAAGGUGCGGGAAUCAAACAGGAUUAGAUACCCUGGUAGUCCGCACGGUAAACGAUGAUUACCCGCUGUCGGCGGCAGACAGUCGGCGGCCAAGCGAAAGCGAUAAGUAAUCCGCCUGGGGAGUACGCCGGCAACGGUGAAACUCAAAUGAAUUGACGGGG